Molecule: microRNA precursor, 324 nt
Filed under: Arabidopsis lyrata
Lineage: Eukaryota; Viridiplantae; Streptophyta; Magnoliopsida; Brassicales; Brassicaceae
Description: miR3434 stem-loop (aly-MIR3434)
Source: miRBase by way of RNAcentral
GCGGAUAACACCUUAAGGAAGGAUUGUUUUUGUUUUAUAGGUUAACUGUGGUGGUAAAUUUUAGCACUCGGCUGAUUCUCUGAUUUUGAACAGGGCUUCCUUAAGUCAGAUCAUUGGUCUCUCUCUCAAGUAACUUAGGGUUUGAAAAACAGCUUCUCCAGUCAGCAUCUUACCCUGCUCCUCAACACUCAGCAAAUCCACAAAUAGAAACGAGUCGUUGCUUCGGAAAGCCUUGUUCAAAAUCAGAGAAUCAACCAAGUGAUAAAAUUUACCACCACAGUUAACCUAUAAAACAAAAACAAUCCUUCCUUAAGUUGUUGUUGC